This 65-nucleotide transfer RNA is filed under the name Neomphalidae sp. Hatoma. Its description in RNAcentral is "tRNA-Cys". Lineage: Eukaryota; Metazoa; Mollusca; Gastropoda; Neomphalida; Neomphalidae. The record is from RNAcentral.
GGUUUUGUAGUUGAGGUAACAAUAUUAAAUUGCAAAUUUAAAGGGACGAAGAAUCGUUAAAACUU